Molecule: long non-coding RNA, 2732 nt
Organism: Argiope bruennichi
Lineage: Eukaryota; Metazoa; Arthropoda; Arachnida; Araneae; Araneidae
Exons: 4
Source: RefSeq, a predicted model, not a curated record
CAUUUCUGUGAAAGAUAAAUUCAUUCUUAUGUAAUUUGUUGACCCAUUUGAAAUUUAAAGUCAUAUCUAAAUAUAUUUUAUUACAAACUCAGAUAGCUCCUGUUUCAGGUGUGUUCAUUUUCUAAGGAAAUCACAGCACUCGUUAUGAUGCUUUAAUAAAAUUAUUUUUUUCUUCUAAUAAUGUGAUUGUGAAUAUUCAUCUCUAAAUUAUUUUUUUAAAUUCAUAUAACUGCAGUAUUUAUGCCCAUCAUGCAUUGCAUUUUUAGAUUUUUCCUGAAGAGCCCAUUAAAUAAUGUUUCUAGUCUAGAGCAGUCUGGGAGCCACGGCCCUCAAGUCCUGCAAGUCACCUCAAAGUGUGCUCUUAGCUGGCAACGGGGUGUACCUGGGCAGAGUGGGGAAGUACUUCGGAAGAGUAAUCUUCUGGUAGGGUCACCCAAGGCAUGAAGGCCACUCCAUCAUGUUGAGAAGCUGCUUGCUUCCUCCUCCUUAUGGUUUUGUUGAUAUUCCCUUAUGGAAUUCAUAUAUCUAUUAAGAUUAUUUUCUUGCAGUAAAAUAAUUUUUUUUCUGAUCCUAAAAGGGUUAAAUUUUUAUCUUCCUUUGGUAAAGAAAGCUAUAAAUAUGCCAUCUGUACUUCUGAUUAAUACUGCUGCAGUCUAUACACUCUUUUUUGGUCUGCCUGCCUUGGAAGCAAGUUGCUGUAAUUCAUAAGAAUAUCAAAUAAAACAAUUUUUCAAAAAUGCAACCUAAUAUUCUGAUGUUUUUCUUUAUUAUUUUGCAUAUAUAUGUAUGAAGCUGCUACUUUAAGAGACUUUUUUAUGCAUAUUUUCAUUUUGAACACUUUUUUUUAUGUUUGGAUUUUGUAUAGUUUGAUAAUUUUAGAAGAAAGAUUUUAUUCCUCAAUAAAGAUUCUUCCAUCUUAUUUACUAAAAUACAUAUUCAUGAGAAUUAUCAAUUUAAGUAACAAUUUUUAUAGGAAAAACAAAAAGGUGCAAAAUUGAAUUUAAGAAUUUAAAAGUGAUACUUUAAAAAAAAAAAUUUCUUGUAAACGAGUUAUACUAAAGGCAAGUGUUGCACCCCCCCCCCACACACACACACACUCCCAAAAAAAAAAAAAGACUCAAUAAGAUUUUGACAAAUCCUCCUUGCAAAGAAUACAAUUUUUAGAAUUAUGUCCGUUUUUGAAUAUAACAAUUCUAAAUAAUAAUAACAUUGUUGAUUUUAUCAAAUUUUGAGUGAAAUUUGUUCAUAGGAAUUCUAUCUGCAUAAAUAUGAAUGCAAUAAUCUGAGAACUAGAAGCAUUACAUUUACUAUGUCAUUUUGUCAUUGGCAUCAUAGAUCUGUGUCAUAGUGUGGGCUAAAUUCAACAAAGAGUUAACUAUUUGUCAAUCUGUGUACUUGUCAUUAUGUGAAUGCAAUAAUUAAAAAAUGUGACCUGUUAUAUAAAGGAUAUCUGUUACUAAAAUUGUAUAUCAAAUAUUGAUUCUAUCGGGAAAAAAAGAAAAUACUCAAAAUGAUUACUCAGUUUUCUUCAUUGUAAUACAAAACAGGAAAUGCAUAAUAUUGUGUUAAUAUAAAGUAAAAAACAAAACAAAAAAAACUGUUGAGUUUUGAGGGGGGGUUUUUUUCCAACUUUCAAUUCUUUAGUUUUUUAAAACUUAAAAAAUAGAUCUACCAAAAUUGUUUCUUUUACACCCUGCAUACCCUAAGGUUGACCUUAGGUAACAGAGAAGGAGAAAAUAAUCUUUUCAUUAGUUUCCUUUAUGAAAGUAGAUAUUAUUCAUCUGAUGUGUACUAACAUGAAUAUAUUUUUUUAGGUACUUCAUCUCAAAUGAAAAGGAAAAUUGGAUCAUCCUCAGAAGAAUUGUCACUGAAAUUUCGAGAACAUUUUAAACGGAUUUUGAAUCUAGAGAACAUUACAGAUUAUUAUAAAAAAGACUUAAUUAAACUCACUUUGGAUAAACUUCUUAAUUUAUAUAUAAAAUCUAUCAAGAAGAUGCCUACAAAUAUAAUGAUAUGAAGCAUCACAUAAUGAAUGAAGGUGAAAUUUUUUCUUUGCCUAUGAUAAUCCUUCUUGGACCAUGGAGUACUGGCAAAUCUACUCUUAUUAAUUAUAUUCUUGGAAUUAAAAAUUCAUCUGUUUCUUUAGAUGGUGGAGCUCAGGCAACGACAUCUGACUUCACUAUAUUAGGACACAGUAAUGAACCUAAAAUUGUUGAUAGAAAUAUUUUAGUCAUGGAGAAAUAGUAUUCAAAUUUAGAAAAGUAUGGAAAAGUUUUCCUUGAAAGGUUGAAAAGCUUUCAAAUUUCAAAUAGCAUCUUGAAGUUGGUUAAUUUUGUUGAUACUCCUGGAGUUAUUGAGAAUGGAAAAUAGCAAGAAAGAGGCUUUUCUUUUGAUGAAAUUUGCCAAUGAUGGAUUUGCCAGCCUUACACUUUUCAAGGCACCAGAGGAAUAUUGUUGUAAAUGGUGUGAAAAUUGUUAAUACUAAGAAAUUACUUGCAUAGGUGAAAAUACCCGUAGAAAAUAAAUGAUUAUUACACAAAUACCUAUUAUUAAUAUUAUUGAUUAUUUCAUCCUUAUUUCUAAUACUACCUCAAAUGAAUAUUCCGUACAAAAAAUUUCUAAUACAACUCAACCUUCAUAUUUCUGCAUAUCCAUUGGCUAUGAGAAAAAAAAGCAUGUAUUCUAUUUUUCUAAAUUUAGUUAUUUUUCAUAAUAAACUGCAUUUACUAUAA